AUUGAACGCUGGCGGCAGGCUUAACACAUGCAAGUCGAACGAAGCCUUCGGGCUUAGUGGCGGACGGGUGAGUAACACGUGGGAACGUACCUUUUGGUUCGGAACAACUCAGGGAAACUUGAGCUAAUACCGGAUGAGCCCUUAGGGGGAAAGAUUUACCGCCGAAAGAGCGGCCCGCGUUAGAUUAGCUAGUUGGUGAGGUAAAGUCUCACCAAGGCUACGAUCUAUAGCUGGUCUGAGAGGAUGAUCAGCCACACUGGGACUGAGACACGGCCCAGACUCCUACGGGAGGCAGCAGUGAGGAAUCUUGCGCAAUGGGCGAAAGCCUGACGCAGCCAUGCCGCGUGAAUGAUGAAGGUCUUAGGAUUGUAAAAUUCUUUUACCAGGGACGAUAAUGACGGUACCUGGAGAAAAAGCCCCGGCUAACUUCGUGCCAGCCGCCGCGGUAA
RNAcentral lists this ribosomal RNA (449 nucleotides) under uncultured bacterium. RNAcentral's name for it is "partial 16S ribosomal RNA". It matches the Rfam family "Bacterial small subunit ribosomal RNA", at positions 30 to 523 of the family's 1533-position model. The record is from RNAcentral.